CCCUUAGAUGUCCUGGGCUGCACGCGCGCUACACUGAUGUGUCCAGUAAGCACCUAACCUCUUCCGAAAGGAACGGGUAACCUUUGCAAAGCACAUCGUGAUGGGGAUAGAUUAUUGCAAUUAUUAGUCUUGAACGAGGAAUUCCUAGUAAGCACAAGUCAUCAGCUUGCAUUGAUUACGUCCCUGCCCUUUGUACACACCGCCCGUCGCUCCUACCGAUUGAAUGAUCCGAUGAAUACCAUGGAUUGAGAGUACGAAUAGGUUCGCUUAUUUCUGCUUCUCGAGAAGUGGAGUAAAUCUUAUCAUUUAGAGGAAGGAGAAGUCGUAACA
RNAcentral lists this ribosomal RNA (330 nucleotides) under uncultured eukaryote. RNAcentral's name for it is "partial 18S ribosomal RNA". It matches the Rfam family "Eukaryotic small subunit ribosomal RNA", at positions 1470 to 1796 of the family's 1831-position model. The record is from RNAcentral.